GAAAACGCGUCUGACAUCAGCCCCUCUGACAUCUGUUCUCUGAUGGAGGGGAGCGGCAGACGGGAGAGUAACACGUGGGAACGUACCCUUUGGUUCGGAACAACCCAGGGAAACUUGGGCUAAUACCGGAUAAGCCCUUACGGGGAAAGAUUUAUCGCCGAAGGAUCGGCCCGCGUCUGAUUAGCUAGUUGGUGGGGUAAUGGCCCACCAAGGCGACGAUCAGUAGCUGGUCUGAGAGGAUGAUCAGCCUCACUGGGACUGAGACACGGCCCAGACUCCUACGGGAGGCAGCAGUGGGGAAUAUUGGACAAUGGGCGCAAGCCUGAUCCAGCCAUGCCGCGUGGGUGAUGAAGGCCCUAGGGUUGUAAAGCCCUUUCGGCGGGGAAGAUAAUGACGGUACCCGCAGAAGAAGCCCCGGCUAACUUCGUG
RNAcentral lists this ribosomal RNA (429 nucleotides) under uncultured bacterium. RNAcentral describes it as "bacterial SSU rRNA". It matches the Rfam family "Bacterial small subunit ribosomal RNA", at positions 49 to 507 of the family's 1533-position model. The record is from RNAcentral.